Molecule: ribosomal RNA, 496 nt
Filed under: uncultured bacterium
Lineage: Bacteria
Description: bacterial SSU rRNA
Rfam family: Bacterial small subunit ribosomal RNA
Source: RNAcentral
AAAGGAAUUGACGGGGACCCGCACAAGCAGCGGAGCAUGUGGUUUAAUUCGAAGCAACGCGAAGAACCUUACCAAGGCUUGACAUCCCCUUGACAGAUGCAGAGAUGUAUCCUCCCCUUCGGGGGCAAGGGAGACAGGUGGUGCAUGGUUGUCGUCAGCUCGUGUCGUGAGAUGUUGGGUUAAGUCCCGCAACGAGCGCAACCCUUAUCCUUAGUUGCCAGCACAUAUGGUGGGCACUCUAAGGAGACUGCCGGUGAUAAACCGGAGGAAGGUGGGGAUGACGUCAAAUCAUCAUGCCCCUGAUGUCUUGGGCUACACACGUGCUACAAUGGUCGGUACAACGGGCAGCUAUGGAGCGAUCCGGAGCAAAUCCCAAUAAACCGAUCCCAGUUCGGAUUGCAGGCUGCAACUCGCCUGCAUGAAGUCGGAGUUGCUAGUAAUCGCGAAUCAGAACGUCGCGGUGAAUGCGUUCCCGGGUCUUGCACACACCGCCCGU